RNAcentral lists this long non-coding RNA (574 nucleotides) under Heterocephalus glaber (naked mole-rat). RNAcentral describes it as "lncRNA (ENSHGLG00100040443.1)". Lineage: Eukaryota; Metazoa; Chordata; Mammalia; Rodentia; Bathyergidae. The record is from RNAcentral.
AGUCUUCUUUGUAGUACAAACAGUCAUGCUGCCCUCAAUCAGGUCCAGGGUUGCAUUAACGUGAUGUUCAUUCAAAGCCUUCUGCACCAAAGGCCAACACUCUUUCAGGUAGGCCUCUCUAUAUUUAGGGAACAAAGUUGCAAAACUGCUCUCCUCCAAGAGUCCUCUGGGAUUGUCCUCUUUAGAAAAAGCUGGUUCCUUCCAACCAUCAGGAACAGUGAGGGGUUCUGAUUCAUCUUGGUUCUCUGGCUUCGGUUUCUGGCUGCGAAAUUCAUUUUCCUCAGGUGCUGCAGUUGUCCCGUUCUUCGAGGAGGACGCCAUUUUCAAACUGCUUCCCUUGGGUUAGUAAUUAUGCCUCCGUGUUCAUCCGGCUGAAAAAGAGCUUGGACCAUCCAGGGGCCUAAUGUCUCCUAUGAGCUGAGGAGCUUAGUUGUUGGAUGAUGAAAGAGGUAGUUGAAUCUGGAAUGUGUGAUGCUGGGAUUAAUGGCGUGUGAUUACUAAACCACUACAUCAACAAGAGAAAAGUAACUAACACAGAGGCCCUCUCUCAAAAAACCAAAACAGAAAAAACAAG